ACUCAAAUGAAUAGACGGGGGCCCGCACAAGCGGUGGAGCAUGUGGAUUAAUACGUCACUAACCGUAGAACCUUACCCAGGCUUGACAUCCCGCGAACGCCCUUGAAAGGGGGAAGUGCCUCGCAAGAGGAGCGCGGAGACAGGUGUUGCAUGGCUGUCGUCAGCUCGUGUCGUGAGAUGUUGGGUUAAGUCCCGCAACGAGCGCAACCCUCACCGUAUGUUGCCAGCGUCAAGUCGGGCACUCUUACGGAACUGCCCGGGUAACCGGGAGGAAGGUGGGGACGACGUCAAGUCAGCAUGGCCCUUACGCCUGGGGCUUCACACAUGCUACAAUGGCCGGUCCAAAGGGUCCCGAGACCGUGAGGUGGAGGCAAUCCCAAAAAGCCGGUCACAGUUCGGAUCGCAGGCUGCAACUCGCCUGCGUGAAGUCGGAAUCGCUAGUAACCGCCGGUCAGCUAAACGGCGGUGAAUACGUUCCCGGGCCUUGUACACACCGCCCGU
This 501-nucleotide ribosomal RNA is filed under the name uncultured bacterium. RNAcentral's name for it is "partial 16S ribosomal RNA". It matches the Rfam family "Bacterial small subunit ribosomal RNA", at positions 899 to 1397 of the family's 1533-position model. The record is from RNAcentral.